UAUUCAAAUACACCUACAAUCACGUUGGCCAAAAUUUCAAUUUUUAUGUCAUAAUUUUUCAGGAAUUUUAAAAAGCGACUGUAAAUUAAAAUGUGUGUUAAAAUUUGUUUGGUACCCAAAAAGUUUCUUUGUGUCUUCUCUCUGAAGUGCGGAGCUUAUGCGGUCGGAAUUUGGAUGUCUUGUUUCAUGUUCAUGGUGGCCAUAACAGUGCUCGUCGAAAGUAUAGCACAUUGUUUUCUUAGGGACUGGAGAUGGAUCUGUCCUCGAUCCUUGUUUUUGUCUGCUGUGGUGACUGUCAUCGAUUGCAUAUAUCUAAUGUUGGUUAACUUGUGCCUGAUAUGGGGAAUUUACAAAGAUAAAGUGAGAAUACUGCUGUGCUGGUUGGCGUUGACCACCUUCGGACUCGUACACGUUUUCGUCAUCAUGGUGACAGCCCCGAGCAUAUUCUACUACGUGUUUAGAGAACCUAAUCAUUUUAUCUGGAUUGUAUGCCUGAUCAUAGCUGUGGUUGCUAUCGUUAUGGGGAUCUACUCGUUGCUUGUUGUCUACGCCUACUAUUUGGAGUUGAAACAGCUCAAGACUGAGGGGACGAACGAAACUCGCUGAGCAAUGAAAGUAAUACAAAUAACCUACUAAAUAAUGUUAUUCUAAAUAUAUUUGUUAAUUUUA
This is a long non-coding RNA of Ostrinia nubilalis (European corn borer), 669 nucleotides long. RefSeq lists it as uncharacterized. The record is from RefSeq and is a predicted model, not a curated record. NCBI's taxonomy places the organism in Eukaryota, Metazoa, Arthropoda, Insecta, Lepidoptera, Crambidae. The transcript is spliced from 4 exons.